CCGCUGUGGCGCCCGGCGAGAGUGAGGCGCGCGGGGUCGAUCCGGGGCGCACAUGUUAGGUUAGGACUUCCAGGUUAGGACUCGCCAAGUCUUUGUACGCAUCUCCGGUGGUUCCGAAGCUCCGGAAAGCUUUUUAAACAUGGAAACUAAAACAAAUACACAUAAGAGAUCGGAUCAAGAUGGCGGAGGAAUAGGACAUGGACCUCACCUUCUCCCACAAAUACAUCAAAAAUACAUCUACAUGUGGAACAAUUCUCACAGAACAUCUACUGAAUAUGGGCAGAAGACCUCAGACUUCCAAAAAGGAAGAAAAUCUCCACAUAAGUGGGUAGGGCAAAAGAAAAAAGAGACAGGAAUUGGGACAGGACCUGUGCCCCUUGGAUGGAGCUGUGAAAGAAUAAAGGUUUCUGCACACUGGGAAGUGCCCUCAAUGGAGGGGAGAUUAGCUGGGACAGAGGGGGUGGGUCGGGCCUGGGUGCUGAGGCCCAGGCUUCAGAGACCAGACCCAGGGGAGAAGACUGGCGUUGGCUGCAUGGAGACAUCCUGAGGGGGCAAGGGUGUGGUACGCCACAACCAAGGGAGAAUGGGGGGAGGCCUGGGCCCACCAGAAAGGCAGGGCACCACCAUUGGGUGGUGUGAAAGGAGAGGGGUGGGCCUGCCAUAGGAACUUCUUUUUUCACAUGCUCUCUCAAGUGGCAGGGCACCGCCUACAUGAGCUCAGGGGACGGGCACAAGCCACAGCUGCCAUCUUGGACUCCAGAGGUGGGCCCAGACCACCUUGGCUGCUACUGCCAAGGGUCCUGAGACCCAACGCCAACUGCUGCCCUCACCUCCUGAGGAGUGCACUCAACCUGCCGCCACUACUGAGGGACCUGCAACUGGGAGCCAACCACUACCCCCUCCUUCCUGGGAGCAUUCACGGGCAGCAUAACUGCACACCCCCUAUCAAGGGGAUAAUGGCCAGCACACAUGGAGGAAAGAGAUAGCAAGCAUCCAAACCAAAAAUAACCUUCACACCAAAAAAUAUUAAGCCCACACAAGCUACGAAGGGAUGCUCCCAUAUAUAAAUAGCCCUCCAAGACAACAGUAGAUAAUUGUUUCUCCUAAACUCACAGACUAAGAGAAAUAUAAGCAAAAUGAAGAAGCAGAGGAACCACUCCCAGUUAAAAGACCAAGAGAGGACUUCCCUGGUGGCACAGUGGAUAAGAAUCCACCUGCCAAUGCAGGGGGCAUGGGUUCAAGCCCUGGUCCAGGAAGAUCCCACAUGCCACAAAGCAACUAGGCCCAUGCACCACAACUACUGAGCCCACGUGCCACAACUACUGAAGCCCAUGCACCUACAGCCUGUACUCCGCAACAAGAGAAGCCACCGCAAUGAGAAGCCCAUGCAUCGCAAUGAAGAAUAACCCCUGUUCGCCACAACUAGAGAAAGCCCACACAGCAACAAAGACCCAACACAGCCAAAAAUAAAUUUAAAAAAUUAAAAAUUAAAAAAAAAAAGACCAAGAGAACUCCCCUGAAGGAACAAUGAAACAAACCUCUUCAGUCUAAUAGACACAAAGUUCAAAAAGGAGGUAAUAAAAAUACUGAAGGAAUUUAGAAAGGCUACUGACAGAAAUGCAUAUUACUGUAAAAAGAAACUAGAAACUAUAAGGAGGAGCCGAAAUUAGAAAAUUUAUUUGCUGAGAUGAACCUGAACUAAAGGCAAUGAAUAGCAGAAUGAAUAAUGCAGAAGAAAGAAUAAGUAAUCUGGAAGAUAGAAAAAUGGAAAUUACCCAAUCGAAACAGCAGACAGAAAGCCAAUUAAAAAAAAAAGAAAGCAAUAUAAGAGACCUAUGAGAUGGUAUAAAAUGUCCCAAUCUAUGCAUAAUAGGGAUUCCAGAAGGAGAAGAAAGAGAAAAGGGGAUUGAAAAUGUAUUUGAAGAAAUUAUGGCUGAAAACUUCCCAAACCUAAAGAAGGAAACAGAUAUCCACAUAUAGGAAGCAUACAGGGUCCCCAAAAAUAUGAAUCCAAACAGAUCUACACCAAGGCAUAUUAUAAUAAAAAUGGCAAAAGUUAAAGAGAGGAUUCUAAAGGCAGCAAGAGAAAAACAAAGAGUUAAUUACAACGGUACCUCUAUAAAGUUAUCAGCUGAUUUCUCUACAGAAACACUGCAGGCCGGAGGGAGUGGCAACAUAUAUUGUCUUGAAAGGGAAAGAUCUGCAACCUAGAAUACUCUAGCCAGCAAGAUUAUCAUUUAGAAAAGGAAAAAUAAUAAUUUCUCUGACAAGCAAAAACUAAAAGAAUACAGCAAUAGUAAACCUAUCCUAAAAGAAAUAUUGAAAGAUAUCCUCUAAAUAGAAAAGAACCAAGAAGAUAUAUGAAGGAGGAAAUAAUAAUUGGAAAUUAAAUCACUUAAAUUAGCCAGUAUACAGAUCAAAAUGAGAAAAAAGAAAAAAAAACCUAUAUGUGAAAGCAAUUAUAAAUAAAAGGAAUAGCAAAAGGAUAAACAUGAAGAUGUAAAAAAGGACAUCAAAAUAAUAAAAUGUGGGGAAAGAGAGUAAGAAAAUGCAGAUUCUUUCUUCUUUUUUUUUUUAGAAUGUGUUUGAGUGUAUAUGACUAUAAGUCCAGCAGAUAUAGGAAGGGGUUAACAUACUUGAAAAACAGGGCAACCACAAAUCAAAAACAUACAAUAGAUUCAAAAAAACCAAAAAGAAGAGAACACAAGCAUAAAAGGAAAUCAUCAAAGCAGAAAAAGAGCAAAGAAGAAACAAAGAAUCAACUGGAAAACAAGGUUUAAUAUGGCAAUAAAUACAUAUGUAUCAAUAAUUACCUUAAAUGUCAAUGGACUGAAUGCUCCAAUCAAAAGACAUAGAGUGGCAGAGUGAAUAAAAAAAACAAGAGCCUACAAUAUGCUGCCUAUAAGAGACCCACCUUAGGGCAAAGGACACAUAUAUAUUGAAAGUGAGGGGAUGGAAAAAGAUGUUUCAUGCAAAUGGAAAUGAAAGAAAGCAGGAGUUGCAAUACUUAUAUCAGACAAAAUAAACUUUAAAGCAAAGGCUAUAAAGAAAAAGAAGGACACUACAUAAUGAUAAAAGGAUCAAUACAAGAAGAGGAUUUUUACACUCAUCAACUCACAUCAAUGGACAGAUCUUCCAGACAGAAAACCAAUAAGGCAACAGAGAUCAUAAAUGAUACAAUAGAACAGUUAGACUUCAUUGAUAUUUUCAGGACAUUACAUCCAAAAAAAAUGAGAAUACACAUUCAUUUUAAGUGCACAUGGAACAUUCUCUAGGAUUGACCACAUACUAGGGUAUAAAACUAACCUCAACAAGUUUCAGAAUAUAGAAAUUCUUUCAAACAUCUUCUCUGACCACAACAGCGUGAAACUAGAAAUCAACCACAGGAAAAGAAAUGAGAAAAGAAUGAUUACAUGAAGACUAAACAACAUGCUACUAAAAAACCAAAGGGUCAACAAGGAAAUCAAAAAAGAAAUUUAAAAAUACCUUGAGACAAAUACCAAUGAAAACACAACCAUACAAAAUCUAUGGGAUGCAGCAAAAGCAGUUCUUAGAGGGAAGUUCAUAGUGAUACAGGCCUUCCUCAAAAAACAAGAAAAAUCUCAAACAACCUAACGUACCAACUAAAAGAAUUAGAAAAAGAAAAACAAAAUAAACUUGGAGUCAGCAGAAGGAAGGAAAUAAUAAAGAUCAGGGAGGAAAUAAAUAAAAUAGAGGUAAAAAAAAAACAGAAAAAAAAUCAAUAAAACCAAGAGCUGUUUCUUUGAAAGGGUAAACAAAAUUGACAAACCUCUGGGCAGGCUCAUCAAUAAGAAAAGAGAGAGAACCCAAAUACACAAAAUAAGAAAUGAAAAAGGAGAAAUCUCAAUUAAUACAUCAGAAAUAAAAA
Long non-coding RNA from Orcinus orca (killer whale), 3889 nucleotides. RefSeq lists it as uncharacterized. The record is from RefSeq and is a predicted model, not a curated record. The transcript is spliced from 2 exons. Lineage: Eukaryota; Metazoa; Chordata; Mammalia; Artiodactyla; Delphinidae.